GAUGAACGCUGGCGGCGUGCCUAAUACAUGCAAGUCGAGCGAACAGAUGAGGAGCUUGCUCCUCUGACGUUAGCGGCGGACGGGUGAGUAACACGUGGAUAACCUACCUAUAAGACUGGGAUAACUUCGGGAAACCGGAGCUAAUACCGGAUAAUAUAUUUAACCGCAUGGUUCAAUAGUGAAAGACGGUUUUGCUGUCACUUAUAGAUGUAUCCGCGCCGCAUUAGCUAGUUGGUAAGGUAACGGCUUACCAAGGCAACGAUGCGUAGCCGACCUGAGAGGGUGAUCGGCCACACUGGAACUGAGACACGGUCCAGACUCCUACGGGAGGCAGCAGUAGGGAAUCUUCCGCAAUGGGCGAAAGCCUGACGGAGCAACGCCGCGUGAGUGAUGAAGGUCUUCGGAUCGUAAAACUCUGUUAUUAGGGAAGAACAAAUGUGUAAGUAACUAUGCACGUCUUGACGGUACCUAAUCAGAAAGCCACGGCUAACUACGUG
This 497-nucleotide ribosomal RNA is filed under the name uncultured bacterium. RNAcentral describes it as "partial 16S ribosomal RNA". It matches the Rfam family "Bacterial small subunit ribosomal RNA", at positions 28 to 507 of the family's 1533-position model. The record is from RNAcentral.